Ribosomal RNA from Salmo trutta (river trout), 119 nucleotides. NCBI's taxonomy places the organism in Eukaryota, Metazoa, Chordata, Actinopteri, Salmoniformes, Salmonidae. The record is from Ensembl.
GUUUACGGCCAUACCAGCCUGGGUAUGCCCGAUCUCGUCUGAUCUCGGAAGCUAAGCAGUGUCGGGCCUGGUUAGUACUUGGAUGGGAGACCGCCUGGGAAUACCAGGUGCUGUAAGCU